RNAcentral lists this ribosomal RNA (400 nucleotides) under uncultured bacterium. RNAcentral's name for it is "bacterial SSU rRNA". It matches the Rfam family "Bacterial small subunit ribosomal RNA", at positions 355 to 768 of the family's 1533-position model. The record is from RNAcentral.
UCGAGAAUCUUCCACAAUGGACGAAAGUCUGAUGGAGCGACGCCGCGUGAUUGAUGAAGUGGUUCGCCACGUAAAGGUCUUUUAUGAGGGAAGAAGUAUAUUGACGGUACCUCAUGAAUAAGGGGCUCCUAACUCUGUGCCAGCAGGAGCGGUAAUACAGAGGCCCCGAGCGUUAUCCGGAAUUAUUGGGCGUAAAGGGUGCGUAGGUGGCGCUGUUAGUCGUUUGUGAAAGCCCGGGGCUCAACCUCGGAAACGCGAACGAAACGGCAGUGCUUGAGUGCGUGAGAGGUGUACGGAACUCAUGGUGUAGGGGUGAAAUCCGUUGAUAUCAUGGGGAACACCAAAAGCGAAGGCAGUACACUGGCACGACACUGACAUUGAAGCACGAAAGCGUGGGUCG